RNAcentral lists this long non-coding RNA (1002 nucleotides) under Homo sapiens (human). RNAcentral describes it as "HSALNT0376803". Lineage: Eukaryota; Metazoa; Chordata; Mammalia; Primates; Hominidae. The record is from RNAcentral.
CUGCAGCCUGGGAUUCCUCCUAAGCCGUGUCCCAUCUGUGCGGGACCCCACUGGAAAUCGGACGUUCAACUCACCUGGCAGCCACUCCCAGAGCCCGUGGAACUCUGGCCCAAGGCUCUCUGACUGACUCCUUCCAAGAUCUUCUCAGCUUAGCGGCUGAAGACUGACGCUGCCCAAUCGCCUCGGAAGCCCCGGAGACCAUCACGGACGCCAAGCUUUAGGUAACUCUCACAGUGGAGGGAAGUUCAAGCUGCUAGAUGGACAGGUCAAAUGAAGAAACAGAUGCCUGACCACUACUAAGCUGUAACUGAUACUGCAGUUGAGAUACAAGAUGUGAAUCUAAAAGAAAUCACCUCGGAUGUCUAGCCCUGUCCUCAAAUAAUUUCAGCUCGGCUGUCUCAUGACUACAACCAUACAAGAAACCCCAACAGCCAACAUAUGGAAACAACCUAAAUGUCUGUCGACAGGUGAAUGAAUAAAGAAAAUGUGGUAUAUACAUACAGCAGAAUAUUGUUCAGUCUUAAAAAAGAAGGAAACCUUACAAUAUGCAGCAUCAUGAAUGAACAUGGAGGACAUUAUGCUAAAUGAAAUAAGCCAGUCACAGAAGGAACAGACACUGCCUGAUUCCAAUCGUAGGAGAUAACUAGUAUUGUCAAAUUUAUAAAAUUGACAAGAGAAUGGUAGUUGCUAGUGGGUGAGCAGAGGGGAAGAUGAGGAGUUAUUGUUGAAUGUGUAUAAAGUUUUAAUUAUGCAAGAUGAGUAAGUUCUAGCGAUCUAUUGUACAACCUUGUGCCUAUAGUUAACAAUGAUGUAUUGUGGAUGUAAAAAUUUGUUAAAGAGGAUACAUCUCAUAUUGUUUUCUUACCACAGUAAAAAAAAAAAGAAACAAAUAAACAAGAAUGUAUAUAGUACUGAAAACUGUAUGUCUGAUGAUUAAAAAUUAAGAAUAUCCUCAAUACCACAUAAUUUACACAAUAGAUACAAAAGGUGUUGGCAACAAAG